AGAACGAACGCUGGCGGCAUGCCUAACACAUGCAAGUCGGACGCUUUCGGGGGCUUCGGCCUCCGAGGGAGUGGCGGACGGGUGAGUAGCGCGUGGGAACCUGCCCCUUUGUGGGGGAUAACCGAGGGAAACUUCGGCUAAAUACCGCAUGCGCCCGGGGGUAACUCCGGGGAAAGAUUUAUCGCAGAGGGAGGGGCCCGCGUCGGAUUAGGUAGUUGGUGGGGUAACGGCCUACCAAGCCUUUGAUCCGUAGCUGGUCUGAGAGGAUGAUCAGCCACACUGGGACUGAGACACGGCCCAGACUCCUACGGGAGGCAGCAGUGGGGAAUAUUGGACAAUGGGCGCAAGCCUGAUCCAGCAAUGCCGCGUGAGUGAUGAAGGCCUUAGGGUUGUAAAGCUCUUUCGGCGGGGACGAUGAUGACGGUACCGCAGAAGAAGCCCGGCUAACUUCGUGCCAGCAGCCGC
Molecule: ribosomal RNA, 465 nt
Filed under: uncultured bacterium
Lineage: Bacteria
Description: SSU rRNA
Rfam family: Bacterial small subunit ribosomal RNA
Source: RNAcentral